GUGCUCGCUUUGGCAGCACAUAUACUAAAAUUAGAACAAUACAGAGAAGAUUACCGUGGCCCCUGCACGAGACUUACAUGGAGGUAUUCUCGCCACCAACAGUUACU
Molecule: small nuclear RNA, 107 nt
Organism: Dromiciops gliroides (monito del monte)
Lineage: Eukaryota; Metazoa; Chordata; Mammalia; Microbiotheria; Microbiotheriidae
Source: RefSeq, a predicted model, not a curated record